UCAGCCUACAAUGACAGACAAGAUGGCCAAAGAAAAUUCUUGAAUGGACCGCCUGAACUUGCAUAAGUAAUUAGCCUGCAGCGCACCAUUCACAAAAAAAAAAUCUCAGACUACCGCCCCAGCCUGUUCCAGAGAGAUAGCGAUCGGCCUGAAAACACGGACAAACUGCACGGAAUUAGCGGCAUACGGGGGAGGUUGGCAAGACACCGAUACACGCACAAGCAGAUAAACUGCUUCUAUCCCUGCACUUCAGAAUUAUCUGGGCCUCCAGUGUUUUCUCACGGAUCUCUCCCAUUGGUCGCCUGUCUAUUUCAUCGGCUCCAAUUUCCAUCCGUCAAUCACUCACUCCGCUACUUGAUUAAAGAUACAGGCUUUCUUCCGCGAAGACUAACCUAGUUUCUAACGCCUCAGUAAAUGGGAGAUGUGGAGGGGGGGAGUUUAAAAUAAUAUGGCGUUAAUCAUAUAUAAUUCUAAACAUCACUAUCCUUGAAAGAGAAGACGGAGACAUUCGUGGUUUAAAUCAGGUUGCAGAGUCUUAGAUUGUAACCGAGCACAGCUUCACCUCAAUGCAAAGUCCAGGUUUAAAAUCAGUGCGAGCGAAGCAGUACUUCUUUUCUGGGACCGGAGCGUACAUAAAACUGGCUGCAUAAUUUCUGCCUCACAUCGAUCAUUUAUUCAAGUUAUCCGAGCCUGCCUGAAAGCUUCUCCAUGUUGCCCGACGCGUUUCGCCACAUCUGUUAUGAACCAAAGAACACUAUUCUGUGCAUAAUAUUUGGAAAUUAAGCGUUAAGAGUAAAAAAAGGAAACUAAAAUCGGAAAGUACAGCAACAAUUGCAACAUUUCUGACCUGGUCGUGCUUAAUAAUUGCAGGACUCACAAAAUCCCGAGCAACAAUGACAUUUCCUACAAGUCUGCAGAUGUGUUUUUGUUUUAUUAUUUUAUAACGUAUAUGCUGUUUUGCUCUUGGCAACUGCAACGCUUGCAUGUUCAAGCGUUGCUUUUGGGGGGGGGAAAGAGGAACUUUGGUUCGAGAAAUACAAAGUGAGUUAAAA
Amblyraja radiata (thorny skate) is the source of this 1052-nucleotide long non-coding RNA. RefSeq lists it as uncharacterized. The transcript has 2 exons. NCBI's taxonomy places the organism in Eukaryota, Metazoa, Chordata, Chondrichthyes, Rajiformes, Rajidae. The record is from RefSeq and is a predicted model, not a curated record.